UCUUAGUGGCGGACGGGUGAGUAACGCUGGGAACCUGCCCUGUACAGGGGAUAACACUUAGGAAUAGGUGCUAAUACCGCAUAAGCGCACAGUAUCGCAUGAUACAGUGUGAAAAACUCCGGUGGUACAGGAUGGACCCGCGUCUGAUUAGCUGGUUGGCGGGGUAACGGCCCACCAAGGCGACGAUGCGUAGGGGUUCUGAGAGGAAGGUCCCCCACACUGGUACUGAGACACGGACCAGACUCCUACGGAAGGCAGCAG
Molecule: ribosomal RNA, 261 nt
Filed under: uncultured bacterium
Lineage: Bacteria
Description: partial 16S ribosomal RNA
Rfam family: Bacterial small subunit ribosomal RNA
Source: RNAcentral